GACGAACGCUGGCGGCGUGCUUAACACAUGCAAGUCGAACGGAAAGGCCCUGCUUUUGUUGGGUGCUCGAGUGGCGAACGGGUGAGUAACACGUGAGUAACCUGCCCUUGACUUUGGGAUAACUUCAGGAAACUGGGGCUAAUACCGGAUAUGAGCUCCUGCUGCAUGGUGGUGGUUGGAAAGAUUCGGCGGUUGGGGAUGGACUCGCGGGUUAUCCGCUUGUUGGUGGGGUAGUGGCUUACCAAGGGUUUGACGGGUAGCCGGCCUGGGAGGGUGACCGGCGACAUUGGGCCUAGGGUACGGCCCAGACUGCUACGGGAGGCAGCAGGGGGGAAUAUUGCACAAUGGGCGGAAGCCUGAUGCAGCAACGCCGCGUGCGGGAUGACGGCCUUCGGGUUGUAAACCGCUUUCGCCUGUGACGAAGCGUGAGUGACGGUAAUGGGUAAAGAAGCACCGGCUAACUACGUG
Molecule: ribosomal RNA, 468 nt
Filed under: uncultured bacterium
Lineage: Bacteria
Description: partial 16S ribosomal RNA
Rfam family: Bacterial small subunit ribosomal RNA
Source: RNAcentral